Mugil cephalus (flathead mullet) is the source of this 3260-nucleotide long non-coding RNA. RefSeq lists it as uncharacterized. The transcript has 2 exons. NCBI's taxonomy places the organism in Eukaryota, Metazoa, Chordata, Actinopteri, Mugiliformes, Mugilidae. The record is from RefSeq and is a predicted model, not a curated record.
UUACUUACUGAAAAUCUUUGGUGAACAAAAGUUGUGAGCAUGAAUACUGACCAUGUGCCAAGCCAUUAGUACUUAGACUGGAUGACAGCCUUUGAGGAAUAACAUCUCCCGUUUGUCACGUUUUUUCCAGCGCACUGGUCUUGGCUGUGGUUCACCCUGUGCCUCAUUCUCCACAAUUAACAAGAAAAAAAUGCAACACUUAAAAUACAGUCCAUGAUGAAAGCAAAGAUUAUCAAACAUCUUAAGUUAAUUUCACAGAAAUUGUAUGUGUGUGUAUAUAUAUAUCUAUAUCUAUAGAUAUAUAUAUAUGAAAAUCUAAAUAAUACAACUUUGACUCCCCACAAUAAAUUAGACAAGAAUGUUCCCUCUGUAACACCUGUUUCCCCUACAUCACUUUUAAAAAUAAUAAUGUUACCUCCAUAUCCUGAAGAAGUUCGUCGGCACCCUGAAGAUCUUCCUCCAGCUCAAGAUCCUCUGAAUCCAUCAUUGGUGGAUUAAAUAGCUAAUCUGCAGUAGCCACGUGUAGUCGUUACCAUACUCUAUCUAGCAAGCAUGCUGAAGGACACAGUAGCCAUGUUUGAAUGUCUUAAACUGCAUCCAAAAUCAGACGCCUUUGUUUGUUUGAAGCUUUUCUGAAAAAGAAAAGAAAAUUGCAGAACUUUAGUGAAUCAAGCUAAUCUGUCUUUCUAAAACAUAUCACUUCCUCAAAGUAGUCAUAUAUAUUUACAUACCUGCGUUACAAUCAAUCAAUCUAUCAAUCAAUUUCUUCUUUUUCUUCUAAGAGGGUCUCAACCUGUGCGUACACUGGUUGCGUCUGAUUGGUGGAGCUCAGAGCGUCCAAAACUGAUGGGAGUGGUGAAUUAAUCUAUAAAUGUGUUUUACAUGUGAAAUGAAAAUAAUAAACCUAACAAAGCAUUAUUAACAUUUGCGUUUAAAAAGAAUUUAAAUGCUUAAUGUUGCCAUUUUUUAUCCACUGUCCUCUCUUCCAUUUCUGUUACUUCUUAUAAUGUAAUCCAGAAAAAACAUAUUUUCCCGACUAAAGAGCACACCUCAAUAUAAGCCGCCCCCACAAAGUUUAAAAAAAAAAUGGAAAUGUACAUAUAUAAGCCGCACCAGGCUAUAAGCCACUGAUAUCUACUGAACUGAUUAGUUUAACUGAACAUAACUGAACUGAUCAGUUUCCGAACGGUGACUGUAGCAUAAAAGUAAAAGUGCUGAUCAAAUAAAACAGAAAAGUUAUUGAUUGGUUUAUUCAUCCUCCUCCUGCGUACUGAAACCCCUGAAGUCAUCUUCUUCAGUGUCAGAGUUGAACAGCCUCAGAAGAGCUCCAUCACAUACGUUUUCUGUGUCUAUGUCAGUGUUGCUCUCCGUGUCGCUGUCAUCCCGGGGUAAAGCUGGCUCUGAAGCUGUGGUGCCCUGUUCACAGAAAUCCACAGAAAAGCCGCAUCUUUGCAUAAGCCGCAUGGUUCAAAGAGUGGGAAAAAAGUAACGGCUUAUAGUCUGGAAAAUACGGUACUACUCUACUACUACUCAUACCCUCACAAACAAUGCCAAUCUGACAACAUAUAUUAUCAUAUCAACAACACCACCAAACGGCAGUGUUCAAGAUCUCACUGUAUCAAAUGUACAAGAUCAAAACUAUAACGUGACAACAAUGAAAAACACAAUGCACGACUUAUGGCAUGAACAGCACACAAUAUGUAAACUACAUUAUCAAUUCCACUUAGAGUAAAAAUAACUUAGACUCACAGAUCGCUUAUCUUUGGAGGCUCCAAAGAGCAGACAUGGAAAGCAAUAGAGCGGCAAGCUCCUGGUAACUUUGUUUUACACUUUAACCACUCCUGGUUGAAUUACCUAUUUUUGUCUUUUUUCUGUUGAGAAAUGAUUAAGUCCUUUUAUCUCCAACAUCUGCUCAAGUGGUAAAGUCCUAAAUUGCACAUCAGCCAGAUAGUCAAUUUGAUUCUUCAUGAAAUGAAUGAAUGAAACGUGAAGUACCUCUUACGUUAUGUACAUUAGCUGAGCUAGCUGACCUGUGCAGUUCGCCUCCCUCAGGCAGGCAAUGAGAAGCGCUAUGGGGCCCUGAACUUCAGGCCAGGGCCAAGGCCCCUAACUGUAGGCUGACUGUGCUACAGCAAGUUUGCCCAUUGCUAAGUAUGGGAAUCAGUUCAAUUUCUGUGGAAAGCUGGUACACAGUGUGCACUUGGCCUGGCCUGUCAACUCCAAAAUAUGCCUGUCACACUUACUACCUUCCCUACUCAGGCUGAUCAAUGCAGGUAUUUCUUUCCUGUUUUCAACAUGCUCUCAAGGUCCAUCUUCUUUUUCCAGUUGGCAAAGCACCAGUCCGGAGCAGCUGUUAUUUCAAGCUGUGACAUUCCUGCCGUAGCUGACUUGCAGGCAGGCUGGCUGAGAUUAUCAUUUGUGGGUUCUUGGUCUGCAGUAAACCUUGAUAGAAUGACUGACAAUCAGACUAAUCACAUCUCAACAGAGUUCCAUUUUGUGUGCUUUUGUGUAUGACACAGAUGAUGUGGCUGCCUGCAAUGCGGACCUCCUAGUAUUUUCUGUAGAGUGCUUGCAGGUGGAUGGCCUUGGCAGGGCUUUAGAGGUGUGCAGUUGUGUGGGAAUCACAGUAUGGGGCUCAUUUGUUGCUGCUAGGCACCUCCCCCCAACGGGGGCAUCAUCUGAGAAUCAGAACCAGCUGUUUCAUAUUCAAGCCUUCCGAAUUAAGCUAUUAUAACUUAGGUUCCAGAAGGAAACUACGCCUCAUGUACCUCAUGUGUCUGCUGUCCCCACCCCUCCCUGUUCUUUUCCUCCUCUUCCAUAUUUCAUUACAAGUAUCAGGGGGACAAGGAGCCAAAGCUUCCUGAGAUGUGUCCCACCAUGAGUUUUCCUUUCUGGUUUCCUCUGUACCUGAAGACCGUCAUAUAUCUAUGCAUUCCACCACUCUCCUCACUGUCAUUUCUUCCACACCUCGGAACACUCUGAUCAGUUUUUGUUAGUAAAUUCACUUUUUUUCACUUAGUUGUUAAAUAGAAUACAAGUCUAACAACUAUCCUAAACAAAACAAAAACAAAAGCUCUUGGGGAUUGUAUUAUAAUAUUACAGUCAUACAGAUUGUAUCAUGUGAUUAUUGAUCCAGUCCAGUAUCAUGUAUAUGUACCGAGUCCUGUAUAUGGUCCACUUUUACCAUUUUCUGUCCAAUUGUGCUUCCUGUAACCUCAACAUGAGUGUCAACUUUUCCAUUAAAAAUAUUUCUUCCAUUA